This 468-nucleotide ribosomal RNA is filed under the name uncultured bacterium. RNAcentral describes it as "partial 16S ribosomal RNA". It matches the Rfam family "Bacterial small subunit ribosomal RNA", at positions 28 to 507 of the family's 1533-position model. The record is from RNAcentral.
GACGAACGCUGGCGGCGUGCUUAACACAUGCAAGUCGAACGGAAAGGCCCUGCUUUUGUGGGGUGCUCGAGUGGCGAACGGGUGAGUAACACGUGAGUAACCUGCCCUUGACUUUGGGAUAACUACAGGAAACUGGGGCUAAUACCGGAUAGGAGCUCCUGCUGCAUGGUGGGGUUUGGAAAGUUUCGGCGGUUGGGGAUGGACUCGCGGCUUAUCAGCUUGUUGGUGGGGUAGUGGCUUACCAAGGCUUUGACGGGUAGCCGGCCUGAGAGGGUGACCGGCCACAUUGGGACUGAGAUACGGCCCAGACUCCUACGGGAGGCAGCAGUGGGGAAUAUUGCACAAUGGGCGGAAGCCUGAUGCAGCAACGCCGCGUGCGGGAUGACGGCCUUCGGGUUGUAAACCGCUUUCGCCUGUGACGAAGCGUGAGUGACGGUAAUGGGUAAAGAAGCACCGGCUAACUACGUG